UAAUGGAGAGCUUGACCUCAUCUGAUACCUUCACUGAAGGAAACAACUUAGUGUCUUUUGUGUUGAACACUGAGGUAAAAAAUUGGAAUAGUUGAUUGUAUGAACUCUGCUAAAAUUGAGUGCAUUUUACAUUUUUUAAGGCCUUGUUGGGCCCUGGUUAAAUAAUUAUUUUUAAAAAUCCUUAAGGAGCCUAUUAUAAACAGAUCUGUGGUCUUAAUGAAAUGUGAUUAAUACUGUGCAUUAUUUUAAGAACUUUUGACUUUUCAAAAAACUUUUACAACAUUUCCCAUUUGAUAGCGGCAUAGGUUUAAGCACCUCUCAUCUCUAAGUUAGUGGACAAGAAACCCUCAUGGAUAGUCUGAUAAUGUUUGCUACAAGUCCAUGUUGAGUUUUAUACUCCAUUUUAUUUUCAGUUUUAAAAACUGUGGUUAAAUAUGUGUAACAUAAAAUUUACGUUCUUAACCAUUUUUUGCGUAUACAGUUCGCUGGUAUUAAAUACAUUUAAAUAAUGUCAUGGAAUCAUUGCUACCACCCAUCUCUGUAACCUUUUGAUCAUGUAACACUGAAGCUCUGUUCCCAUUGAACUCUAUUCCCCCUUUCCUGCCAAGUCCCUGGCAACCACGAUUCUUCUUUCUGUCCUCUGAAUUUGACUACUUUAGGUUCUCAUAUACUUUAGGAGUCACACAGUAUUUGUUUUACUUAGCAUAAUGUCCCCAAAGCUCAUGCAUGUUGUAGCCUAUGUUAGAACUUCCUAAUGUUUCAGGCCAAAUACUAUUCCAUUGUAUGGAUAGGCCACAUUUUGCUUUUCCAUUCCUCUGUCCAUGGACACUUGUAUUGCUUCAUGUUUUAGCCAUUGUGAAACAUGCUGUUAUGAACAUGGGUGUACAGAUAGCUCCUGGAGACUCUGCUUUCCAUUUUUUUGGCUAAAUAGCCAGAAAUGGAGUUGCUUUUACAUUCCAAUUUUUAUUUAAAACAUUCAUAUCAUUGAGUGUUUUACUUAAUAGUAUAGUAGUUAACAAACUUAAUAAAGUAGUAUUUUGGUAAUAAUUUGCUGGUAGUCCAUUGUUCAGUUUUUUUAGGUAAAUUACACAGGACAUUUCAAGUGGACAUGAAACAUCUUGUGAUGUGGAAUCAUGCCCCAAGCUGAUGGCUAAACAUAUGAAAUGCCAUACCCUAAAUUUAGUAGAUUUAGUCUUUGCAAUUUAGGAGAUAACCUGUUAUGUUGUUAGGUUUUUGUCUAAAAGCUUUGUCCUCAUAUUUCCAACUUGCUGUAAAAUUUGUUUGUGAAGACAAAUAUUUUUGUAUGGGUUUUUUCUUUUUCAUAUUAAAAAGAAAUGUCCACAUUGAAAUUUUUUUGGAGUUUUUAGAGCUAAUAGUGCUUUUCAUAAUGUAGUGGGAAUGAGUGAUCAGUAAGCUCUUAGCAGUUUCCAUGCGUGCAUUUCUGUGCCUUGAAAUAAAUGACAGAUGAGUACAUUUGUGUUCUGUGUGUAAAAUGUGCUCUUUCCUCGUUGCACUUCCAUUUUGGAGGGCUUGUCUCUUGGUGAUCACACUUCAAAAUUCUCACAGCCCCCCUUGAACCAUUUAGGUGUUAGACGGUACCGACAACCAGUAUUUGGGCCUGCAGAUUGGACAGUCCCAGGAUGAGGAUGAGGAAGCCACAGGUAUUCUUCCUGAGGAAGCCUCGGAGGCCUUCAGGAACUCUUCCAUGGGUAUGUGGACUACAGGUGAUGCGCUACAAAGUGGUUUGUAUUCAGACCUGGACAUCUUAAUUAUAUCUUUGCUUCCAAGAAGAAAUCCUUUGAUACUGUUUUCUGAGUUCUGAAUAGCUGAUGAAAAUGACCAAUUGAGGAAUAAUCAUACUUUUUCUUGAUCUAAAUCUUAUACUUUUGAGUUAUCUUAGCAUAAAUGUAUAAUUGUAUUUUAAGUGGAAAUUUGUCACUUAAUCUUGAUUUCUCUGUUUUUAAAGCCCUUCAACAGGCACAUUUAUUGAAAAACAUGAGUCACAGCAGGCAGCCUUCUGACAGCAGUGUUGAUAAAUUUGUGUUGAGAGAUGAAGCUACUGAACCGGGUGAUCAAGAAAACAAGCCUUGCCGCAUCAAAGGUGACAUUGGACAGUCCACUGAUGAUGACUCUGCACCUCUUGUCCAUUGUGUCCGCCUUUUAUCUGCUUCGUUUUUGCUAACAGGGGGAAAAAAUGUGCUGGUUCCGGACAGGGAUGUGAGGGUCAGCGUGAAGGCCCUGGCCCUCAGCUGUGUGGGAGCAGCUGUGGCCCUCCACCCGGAAUCUUUCUUCAGCAAACUCUAUAAAGUUCCUCUUGACACCACGGAAUACCCUGAGGAACAGUAUGUCUCAGACAUCUUGAACUACAUUGAUCAUGGAGACCCACAGGUUCGAGGAGCCACUGCCAUUCUCUGUGGGACCCUCAUCUGCUCCAUCCUCAGCAGGUCCCGCUUCCACGUGGGAGAUUGGAUGGGCACCAUUAGAACCCUCACAGGAAAUACAUUUUCUUUGGCGGAUUGCAUUCCUUUGCUGCGGAAAACACUGAAGGAUGAGUCUUCUGUUACUUGCAAGUUAGCUUGUACAGCUGUGAGGCACUGUGUCAUGAGUCUCUGCAGCAGCAGCUACAGUGAGUUAGGACUGCAGCUGAUCAUCGAUGUGCUGACUCUGAGGAACAGUUCCUAUUGGCUGGUGAGGACAGAGCUUCUGGAAACCCUUGCGGAGAUUGACUUCAGGCUGGUGAGCUUUUUGGAGGCAAAAGCAGAAAACUUACACAGAGGGGCUCAUCAUUAUACAGGGCUUUUGAAACUGCAAGAACGAGUGCUCAAUAAUGUUGUCAUCCAUUUGCUUGGAGAUGAAGACCCCAGGGUGCGACAUGUUGCCGCAGCAUCAUUAAUUAGGCUUGUCCCAAAGCUGUUUUAUAAAUGUGACCAAGGACAAGCUGAUCCAGUAGUGGCCGUGGCAAGAGAUCAAAGCAGUGUUUACCUGAAACUUCUCAUGCAUGAGACGCAGCCUCCAUCUCAUUUCUCCGUCAGCACAAUAACCAGAAUAUAUAGAGGCUAUAACCUACUACCAAGCAUAACAGAUGUCACUAUGGAAAAUAACCUUUCAAGAGUUAUUGCAGCAGUUUCUCAUGAACUAAUCACAUCAACCACCAGAGCACUCACAUUUGGAUGCUGUGAAGCUUUGUGUCUUCUUUCCACUGCCUUCCCAGUUUGCAUUUGGAGUUUAGGUUGGCACUGUGGAGUGCCUCCACUGAGUGCCUCAGAUGAGUCUAGGAAGAGCUGUACUGUUGGGAUGGCCACAAUGAUUCUGACCCUGCUCUCGUCAGCUUGGUUCCCAUUGGAUCUCUCAGCCCAUCAAGAUGCUUUGAUUUUGGCCGGAAACUUGCUUGCAGCCAGUGCUCCCAAAUCUCUGAGAAGUUCAUGGGCCUCUGAAGAAGAAGCCAACCCAGCAGCCACCAAGCAAGAGGAGGUCUGGCCAGCCCUGGGGGACCGGGCCCUGGUGCCCAUGGUGGAGCAGCUCUUCUCUCACCUGCUGAAGGUGAUUAACAUUUGUGCCCACGUCCUGGAUGACGUGGCUCCUGGACCCGCAAUAAAGGCAGCCUUGCCUUCUCUAACAAACCCCCCUUCUCUAAGUCCCAUCCGACGAAAGGGGAAGGAGAAAGAACCAGGAGAACAAGCAUCUGUACCGUUGAGUCCCAAGAAAGGCAGUGAGGCCAGUGCAGCUUCUAGACAAUCUGAUACCUCAGGUCCUGUUACAACAAGUAAAUCCUCAUCACUGGGGAGUUUCUAUCAUCUUCCUUCAUACCUCAAACUGCAUGAUGUCCUGAAAGCUACACACGCUAACUACAAGGUCACCUUGGAUCUUCAGAACAGCACGGAAAAGUUUGGAGGGUUUCUCCGCUCAGCCUUGGAUGUUCUUUCUCAGAUACUAGAGCUGGCCACACUGCAGGACAUUGGGAAGUGUGUUGAAGAGAUCCUAGGAUACCUGAAAUCCUGCUUUAGUCGAGAACCAAUGAUGGCAACUGUUUGUGUUCAACAAUUGUUGAAGACUCUCUUUGGGACAAACUUGGCCUCCCAGUUUGAUGGCUUAUCUUCCAACCCCAGCAAGUCACAAGGCCGAGCACAGCGCCUUGGCUCCUCCAGUGUGAGGCCAGGCUUGUACCACUACUGCUUCAUGGCCCCGUACACCCACUUCACCCAGGCCCUCGCUGACGCCAGCCUGAGGAACAUGGUGCAGGCGGAGCAGGAGCACGACACCUCGGGAUGGUUUGAUGUCCUCCAGAAAGUGUCUACCCAGUUGAAGACAAACCUCACCAGUGUCACAAAGAACCGUGCAGAUAAGAAUGCUAUUCAUAAUCACAUUCGUUUGUUUGAACCUCUUGUUAUAAAAGCUUUAAAACAGUACACGACUACCACAUCUGUGCAGUUACAGAAGCAGGUUUUAGAUUUGCUGGCGCAGCUGGUUCAGUUACGGGUUAAUUACUGUCUUCUGGAUUCAGAUCAGGUGUUUAUUGGCUUUGUAUUGAAACAGUUUGAAUACAUUGAAGUGGGCCAGUUCAGGGAAUCAGAGGCAAUCAUUCCAAACAUCUUUUUCUUCUUGGUAUUACUAUCUUAUGAACGCUAUCAUUCAAAACAGAUCAUUGGAAUUCCUAAAAUCAUUCAGCUCUGUGAUGGCAUCAUGGCCAGUGGAAGGAAGGCUGUGACACAUGCCAUACCGGCUCUGCAGCCCAUAGUCCACGACCUCUUUGUAUUAAGAGGAACAAAUAAAGCUGAUGCAGGAAAAGAGCUUGAAACCCAAAAAGAGGUGGUGGUGUCAAUGUUACUGAGACUCAUCCAGUACCAUCAGGUGUUGGAGAUGUUCAUUCUUGUCCUGCAGCAGUGCCACAAGGAGAAUGAAGACAAGUGGAAGCGACUGUCUCGACAGAUAGCUGACAUCAUCCUCCCAAUGUUAGCCAAACAGCAGAUGCACAUUGACUCUCAUGAAGCCCUUGGAGUGUUAAAUACAUUAUUUGAGAUUUUGGCCCCUUCCUCCCUCCGUCCAGUGGACAUGCUUUUACGGAGUAUGUUCGUCACUCCGAACACAAUGGCGUCCGUGAGCACUGUUCAACUGUGGAUAUCGGGAAUCCUGGCCAUUUUGAGGGUUCUGAUUUCCCAGUCAACUGAAGAUAUUGUUCUUUCUCGUAUUCAGGAGCUCUCCUUCUCUCCAUAUUUAAUCUCCUGUACAGUAAUUAAUAGGUUAAGAGAUGGGGACAGUAAUUCAACGCUAGAAGAACACAGUGAAGGGAAACAAAUAAAGAAUUUGCCAGAAGAAACAUUUUCAAGGUAUGCUUUCUAUCGGAGCCUAUAACUAACCCAUGCCCUUUGGGAAGUCACAUGAUGUUUCGCAAUCAGUAAGUCUGGAAUAAUACCUGGUCUUGCUUCAGUUCUGAGUUGGGUAAAGAAGUCCGUAUCAGUGUAAUUUUCUAAUCCGUCCUGCAUUAUCUGUGGCUGUUGGUUCAUACCUGUCUUGAGGUUCUGUCACGUUCUGUCUCUUGUCCUCAGUAGAGAUGCUACAGCAGUGGCUCGCCUCAGGCAGGGCAGGGCAUUGGGUGGCUGUCCUGGGGGCAGGCAGUAGGGGCACACUGCCGUCAGGGAAGUUGAAACCCAAGAGAAGCCAGUAAAAGUGAGUCUCAGAUUCUCACCAUGUGCUGGCAGUUUUACACGCUGUCAGUAAUAAAAGACUUCUCCCUGCAGGGCAGCCUGCCUCCAAUAAAUACGCGUAGUAUCAAAUCCUGUCUUCCCUCAUAAAUUGUUUGGAAGCUCCCCAAGGACAGUGAUGAGGCGCUCGUAAGUGCUUGCUGCCUAGAUGGGUCCCUCUCCACCUUUGCUAGAUUCUGAGCAUUCACUGAGUUAGAGCUGCUUCUGCAAAUGUGCUGCUUCUGCUAAGUGGCUGUGACUUCAUGCAGCCUUCACUUGGUUUGUCAUCAGUGGAGGUGCCCUGUGUUGUCGAUGGAGAUAAGCCCAGUAAGCCUGCUGGGCACCUUUUUGUUUGCAGGUUCAGCAAGGCAGCCCAUGGCUUUCCCUCUGUUGCAUUGAAGCAGCUGGCUAAAAUUGAUGAUACAUUAAAUUCCUGUGACAGAUGAUCAGCUUGCAUUUGUGUAAUGGUGUACAGUUUACAAAGCUUAAAAAAAUACUACCUGCCAUUUCAUCCUCAGCGAGGAAGGUGAUACACAGAGAGACCAAGUGACUGUGUCCAAGGCGAUGGUGUUAUGCAUUUCACUUUAACGGUUUAAUGUACUCUACCUAUAUUUUUACUUUAUAUUUACCAUGUAUAUUUUCAUGUAUACUUGGCAUAAGUGCUUUAUAGUAGUCACCUAAUUCACUGUCAUCUUUUUUGUUUCUUGGAAGGUUUCUAUUACAACUGGUUGGUAUUCUUUUAGAAGACAUUGUUACAAAACAGCUGAAGGUGGAAAUGAGUGAGCAGCAACAUACUUUCUAUUGCCAAGAACUAGGCACACUGCUAAUGUGUCUGAUCCACAUCUUCAAGUCUGGAAUGUUCCGGAGAAUCACAGCAGCUGCCACUAGACUGUUCCGCAGCGAUGGCUGUGGCGGCAGUUUCUACACCCUGGACAGCUUGAACUUGCGGGCUCGUUCCAUGAUCACCACCCACCCGGCCCUGGUGCUGCUCUGGUGUCAGAUACUGCUGCUUGUCAACCACACCGACUACCGCUGGUGGGCAGAAGUGCAGCAGACCCCAAAAAGACACAGUCUGUCCAGCACAAAGUUACUUAGUCCCCAGAUGUCUGGAGAAGAGGAGGAUUCUGACUUGGCAGCCAAACUUGGAAUGUGCAAUAGAGAAAUAGUACGAAGAGGGGCUCUCAUUCUCUUCUGUGAUUAUGUCUGUCAGAACCUCCAUGACUCCGAGCACUUAACGUGGCUCAUUGUAAAUCACAUUCAAGAUCUGAUCAGCCUUUCCCACGAGCCUCCAGUACAGGACUUCAUCAGUGCCGUUCAUCGGAACUCUGCUGCCAGCGGCCUGUUCAUCCAGGCAAUUCAGUCUCGUUGUGAAAACCUUUCAACUCCAACCACGCUGAAGAAAACUCUUCAGUGCUUGGAGGGGAUCCAUCUCAGCCAGUCGGGAGCUGUGCUCACGCUGUAUGUGGACAGGCUUCUGUGCACCCCUUUCCGUGUGCUGGCUCGCAUGGUCGACAUCCUUGCUUGUCGCCGGGUAGAAAUGCUUCUGGCUGCAAAUUUACAGCAUGGCCCAGUUGCCAAUGGAAGAACUCAACAGAAUCCAGGAAUACCUUCAGAGCAGCGGGCUCGCUCAGAGGUUUCGUCUCUCCACCAUGCAAGACUCACUUAGUCCCUCUCCUCCAGUCUCUUCCCACCCGCUGGACGGGGAUGGGCACGUGUCACUGGAAACAGUGAGUCCGGACAAAGACUGGUACAUUCAUCUUGUCAAAUCCCAGUGUUGGAUCAGGUCAGAUUCUGCACUGCUGGAAGGUGCAGAGCUGGUGAAUCGGAUUCCUGCUGAAGAUAUGAGUGCCUUCAUGAUGAACUCGGCGUUCAACCUAAGCCUGCUAGCUCCAUGCUUAAGCCUAGGGAUGAGUGAAAUUUCUGGUGGCCAGAAGAGUGCCCUUUUUGAAGCAGCCCGUGAGGUGACUCUGGCCCGCGUGAGCGGCACCGUGCAGCAGCUCCCUGCUGUCCAUCAUGUCUUCCAGCCCGAGCUGCCUGCAGAGCCGGCGGCCUACUGGAGCAAGUUGAAUGAUCUAUUUGGGGAUGCUGCACUGUAUCAGUCCCUGCCCACUCUGGCCCGGGCCCUGGCACAGUACCUGGUGGUGGUCUCCAAACUGCCCAGUCAUUUGCACCUUCCUCCUGAGAAAGAGAAGGACAUCGUGAAAUUCGUGGUGGCAACCCUUGAGGCCCUGUCCUGGCAUUUGAUCCAUGAGCAGAUCCCGCUGAGUCUGGAUCUCCAGGCAGGGCUGGACUGCUGCUGCCUGGCCCUGCAGCUGCCUGGCCUCUGGAGCGUGGUCUCCUCCACAGAGUUUGUGACCCACGCCUGCUCCCUCAUCCACUGUGUGCACUUCAUCCUGGAGGCCGUUGCAGUGCAGCCUGGAGAGCAGCUUCUUAGUCCAGAAAGAAGGACAAAUACCCCAAAAGCCAUCAGCGAGGAGGAGGAGGAAGUAGAUCCAAACACACAGAAUCCUAAGUAUAUCACCGCAGCCUGUGAGAUGGUGGCAGAAAUGGUGGAGUCUCUGCAGUCGGUGUUGGCCUUGGGUCAUAAAAGGAAUAGCGGCGUGCCGGCGUUCCUCACGCCAGUGCUCAGGAACAUCAUCAUCAGCCUGGCCCGCCUGCCCCUUGUCAACAGCUACACACGUGUGCCCCCACUGGUGUGGAAGCUUGGAUGGUCACCCAAACCGGGAGGGGAUUUUGGCACAGCAUUCCCUGAGAUCCCCGUGGAGUUCCUCCAGGAAAAGGAAGUCUUUAAGGAGUUCAUCUACCGCAUCAACACACUAGGCUGGACCAGUCGUACUCAGUUUGAAGAAACUUGGGCCACCCUCCUUGGUGUCCUGGUGACGCAGCCCCUCGUGAUGGAGCAGGAGGAGAGCCCACCAGAAGAAGACACAGAGAGGACCCAGAUCAACGUCUUGGCCGUGCAGGCCAUCACCUCACUGGUGCUCAGUGCAAUGACUGUGCCUGUUGCCGGCAACCCAGCUGUAAGCUGCUUGGAGCAGCAGCCCCGGAACAAGCCUCUGAAAGCUCUCGACACCAGGUUUGGGAGGAAGCUGAGCAUUAUCAGAGGGAUUGUGGAGCAAGAGAUUCAAGCAAUGGUUUCAAAGAGAGAGAAUAUUGCCACCCAUCAUUUAUACCAGGCAUGGGAUCCUGUCCCUUCUCUGUCUCCAGCUACUACAGGUGCCCUCAUCAGCCACGAGAAGCUGCUGCUGCAGAUCAACCCCGAGCGGGAGCUGGGGAGCAUGAGCUACAAACUCGGCCAGGUGUCCAUACACUCCGUGUGGCUGGGGAACAGCAUCACACCCCUGAGGGAGGAGGAAUGGGACGAGGAAGAGGAGGAGGAGGCCGACGCCCCUGCACCUUCGUCACCACCCACGUCUCCAGUCAACUCCAGGAAACACCGGGCUGGAGUUGACAUCCACUCCUGUUCACAGUUUUUGCUUGAGUUGUACAGCCGCUGGAUCCUGCCGUCCAGCUCAGCCAGGAGGACCCCGGCCAUCCUCAUCAGUGAGGUGGUCAGAUCCCUUCUAGUGGUCUCAGACUUGUUCACCGAGCGCAACCAGUUUGAGCUGAUGUAUGUGACGCUGACAGAACUGCGAAGGGUGCACCCUUCAGAAGACGAGAUCCUCGCUCAGUACCUGGUGCCUGCCACCUGCAAGGCAGCUGCCGUCCUUGGGAUGGACAAGGCCGUGGCGGAGCCUGUCAGCCGCCUGCUGGAGAGCACACUCAGGAGCAGCCACCUGCCCAGCAGGGUCGGAGCCCUGCACGGCGUCCUCUAUGUGCUGGAGUGCGACCUGCUGGACGACACUGCCAAGCAGCUCAUCCCAGUCAUCAGCGACUAUCUCCUCUCCAACCUGAAAGGGAUCGCCCACUGCGUGAACAUUCACAGCCAGCAGCACGUACUGGUCAUGUGUGCCACUGCGUUUUACCUCAUUGAGAACUAUCCUCUGGACGUAGGGCCGGAAUUUUCAGCAUCAAUAAUACAGAUGUGUGGGGUGAUGCUGUCUGGAAGUGAGGAGUCCACCCCCUCCAUCAUUUACCACUGUGCCCUCAGAGGCCUGGAGCGCCUCCUGCUCUCUGAGCAGCUCUCCCGCCUGGAUGCAGAAUCGCUGGUCAAGCUGAGUGUGGACAGAGUGAACGUGCACAGCCCGCACCGGGCCAUGGCGGCUCUGGGCCUGAUGCUCACCUGCAUGUACACAGGAAAGGAGAAAGUCAGUCCGGGUAGAACUUCAGACCCUAAUCCUGCAGCCCCCGACAGCGAGUCAGUGAUUGUUGCUAUGGAGCGGGUAUCUGUUCUUUUUGAUAGGAUCAGGAAAGGCUUUCCUUGUGAAGCCAGAGUGGUGGCCAGGAUCCUGCCCCAGUUUCUAGACGACUUCUUCCCACCCCAGGACAUCAUGAACAAAGUCAUCGGAGAGUUUCUGUCCAACCAGCAGCCAUACCCCCAGUUCAUGGCCACCGUGGUGUAUAAGGUGUUUCAGACCCUGCACAGCACCGGGCAGUCGUCCAUGGUCCGGGACUGGGUCAUGCUGUCCCUCUCCAACUUCACGCAGAGGGCCCCAGUCGCCAUGGCCACGUGGAGCCUCUCCUGCUUCUUCGUCAGCGCGUCCACCAGCCCGUGGGUUGCAGCGAUCCUCCCACAUGUCAUCAGCAGGAUGGGCAAGCUGGAGCAGGUGGACGUGAACCUUUUCUGCCUGGUCGCCACAGACUUCUACAGACACCAGAUAGAGGAGGAGCUCGACCGCAGGGCCUUCCAGUCUGUGCUUGAGGUGGUUGCAGCCCCAGGAAGCCCAUAUCACCGGCUGCUGACUUGUUUACGAAAUGUCCACAAGGUCACCACCUGCUGAGCGCCAUGGUGGGAGAGACUGUGAGGCGGCAGCUGGGGCCGGAGCCUUUGGAAGUCUGCGCCCUUGUGCCCUGCCUCCACCGAGCCAGCUUGGUCCCUAUGGGCUUCCGCACAUGCCGCGGGCGGCCAGGCAACGUGCGUGUCUCUGCCAUGUGGCAGAAGUGCUCUUUGUGGCAGUGGCCAGGCAGGGAGUGUCUGCAGUCCUGGUGGGGCUGAGCCUGAGGCCUUCCAGAGAGCAGGAGCAGCUGUGCUGCACCCCAUGUGGGUGACCAGGUCCUUUCUCCUGAUAGUCACCUGCUGGUUGUUGCCAGGUUGCAGCUGCUCUUGCAUCUGGGCCAGAAGUCCUCCCUCCUGCAGGCUGGCUGUUGGCCCCUCUGCUGUCCUGCAGUAGAAGGUGCCGUGAGCAGGCUUUGGGAACACUGGCCUGGGUCUCCCCGGUGGGGUGUGCAUGCCACGCCCCGUGUCUGGAUGCACAGAUGCCAUGGCAUGUGCUGGGCCAGUGGCUGGGGGUGCUAGACACCCAGCACCAUUCUCCCUUCUCUCUUUUCUUCUCAGGAUUUAAAAUUUAAUUAUAUCAGUAAAGAGAUUAAUUUUAACGUAACUCUUUCUAUGCCCGUGUAAAGUAUGUGAAUCGCAAGGCCUGUGCUGCAUGCGACAGCGUCCGGGGAGGUGGACAGGGCCCCCGGCCACGCUCCCUCUCCUGUAGCCACUGGCAUAGCCCUCCUGAGCACCCGCUGACAUUUCCGUUGUACAUGUUCCUGUUUAUGCAUUCACAAGGUGACUGGGAUGUAGAGAGGCGUUAGUGGGCAGGUGGCCACAGCAGGACUGAGGACAGGCCCCCAUUAUCCUAGGGGUGUGCUCACCUGCAGCCCCUCCUCCUCGGGCACAGACGACUGUCGUUCUCCACCCACCAGUCAGGGACAGCAGCCUCCCUGUCACUCAGCUGAGAAGGCCAGCCCUCCCUGGCUGUGAGCAGCCUCCGCUGUGUCCAGAGACAUGGGCCUCCCACUCCUGUUCCUUGCUAGCCCUGGGGUGGUGUCUGCCUAGGAGCUGCCUGGCAGGUGUUGGGACCUGCUGCUCCAUGGAUGCAUGCCCCAAGAGUGUCACUGAGCUGUGUUUUGUCUGAGCCUCUCUUGGUCAACAGCAAAGCUUGGUGUCUUGGCACUGUUAGUGACAGAGCCCAGCAUCCCUUCUGCCCCUGUUCCAGCCGACAUCUUGCACGGUGACCCCUUUUAGUCAGGAGAGUGCAGAUCUGUGCUCAUCGGAGACUGCCCCACGGCCCUGUCAGAGCCGCCACUCCUAUCCCCAGGCCAGGUCCCUGGACCAGCCUCCUGUUUGCAGGCCCAGAGGAGCCAAGUCAUUAAAAUGGAAGUGGAUUCUGGAUGGCCGGGCUGCUGCUGAUGUAGGAGCUGGAUUUGGGAGCUCUGCUUGCCGACUGGCUGUGAGACGGGGCAGGGGCUCUGCUUCCUCAGCCCUAGAGGUGAGCCAGGCAAGGUUGGCAACUGUCAUGUGGCUUGGUUUGGUCAUGCCCGUCGAUGUUUUGGGUAUUGAAUAUGGUAAGUGGAGGAAAUGUUGGAACUCUGUGCAGGUGCUGCCUUGAGACCCCCAAGCUUCCACCUGUCCCUCUCCUAUGUGGCAGCUGGGGAGCAGCUGAGAUGUGGACUUGUAUGCUGCCCACAUACGUGAGGGGGAGCUGAAAGGGAGCCCCUGCUCAAAGGGAGCCCCUCCUCUGAGCAGCCUCUGCCAGGCCUGUAUGAGGCUUUUCCCACCAGCUCCCAACAGAGGCCUCCCCCAGCCAGGACCACCUCGUCCUCGUGGCGGGGCAGCAGGAGCGGUAGAAAGGGGUCCGAUGUUUGAGGAGGCCCUUAAGGGAAGCUACUGAAUUAUAACACGUAAGAAAAUCACCAUUCUUCCGUAUUGGUUGGGGGCUCCUGUUUCUCAUCCUAGCUUUUUCCUGGAAAGCCCGCUAGAAGGUUUGGGAACUAGGGGAAAGUUCUCAGAACUGUUGCUGCUCCCCACCCGCCUCCCGCCUCCCCCCCAGGUUAUGUCAGCAGCUCUGAGACAGCAGUAUCACAGGCCAGAUGCUGUUCCUGGCUAGAUGUUUACAUUUGUAAGAAAUAACACUGUGAAUGUAAAACAGAGCCAUUCCCUUGGAAUGCAUAUCGCUGGGCUCAACAUAGAGUUUGUCUUCCUCUUGUUUACGACGUGAUCUAAACCAGUCCUUAGCAAGGGGCUCAGAACACCCCGCUCUGGCAGUAGGUGUCCCCCACCCCCAAAGACCUGCCUGUGUGCUCCGGAGAUGAAUAUGAGCUCAUUAGUAAAAAUGACUUCACCCACGCAUAUACAUAAAGUAUCCAUGCAUGUGCAUAUAGACACAUCUAUAAUUUUAUACACACACCUCUCAAGAUGGAGAUGCAUGGCCUCUAAGAGUGCCCGUGUCGGUUCUUCCUGGAAGUUGACUUUCCUUAGACCUGCCAGGUCAAGUUAGCCGCGUGACGGACAUCCAGGUGUGGGACAUGGUCAGGGCAGGGCUCAUUCAUUGCCCACUAGGAUCCCACUGGAGAAGAUGGUCUCCAUAUCAGCUCUCUGCAGAAGGGAGGAAGACUUUAUCAUGUUCCUAAAAAUCUGUGGCAAGCACCCAUCGUAUUAUCCAAAUUUUGUUGAAAAUGUGAUUAAUUUGGUUGUCAAGUUUUGGGGGUGGGCUGUGGGGAGAUUGCUUUUGUUUUCCUGCUGGUAAUAUCAGGAAAGAUUUUAAUGAAACCAGGGUAGAAUUGUUUGGCAAUGCACUGAAGCGUGUUUCUUUCCCAAAAUGUGCCUCCCUUCCGCUGCGGGCCCAGCUGAGUCUAUGUAGGUGAUGUUUCCAGCUGCCAAGUGCUCUUUGUUACUGUCCACCCUCAUUUCUGCCAGCGCAUGUGUCCUUUCAAGGGGAAAAUGUGAAGCUGAACCCCCUCCAGACACCCAGAAUGUAGCAUCUGAGAAGGCCCUGUGCCCUAAAGGACACCCCUCGCCCCCAUCUUCAUGGAGGGGGUCAUUUCAGAGCCCUCGGAGCCAAUGAACAGCUCCUCCUCUUGGAGCUGAGAUGAGCCCCACGUGGAGCUCGGGACGGAUAGUAAACAGCAAUAACUCGGUUUGUAGCCGCCUGGCAGGUGGAACUUGCUCCCACUGCGGGGUGGAGUGAGGUUAGUUCUGUGUGUCUGGUGGGUGGAGUCAGGCUUCUCUUGCUACCUGUGAGCCUCAUUCCCAGCAGACAUCCUCAUCGGGCUUUGUCCCUCCCCCGCUUCCUCCCUCUGCGGGGAGGACCCGGGACCACAGCUGCUGGCCAGGGUAGACUUGGAGCUGUCCUCCAGAGGGGCCACGUGUGGGAGUGAGAAGAAGGAAGAUCUUGAGAGCUGCUGAGGGACCUUGGAGAGCUCAGGAUGGCUCAGACGAGAAGAGGACACUCGCUUGCCGGGCCUGGGCCUCCUGGGAAGGAGGGAGCCGCUCAGAGUGCCGCAUGACAACUGAAGGCAACCUGGAAGGUUCAGGGGCCGCUCUUCCCCCAUGUGCCUGUCACGCUCUGGUGCAGUCAAAGGAACGCCUUCCCCUCAGUUGUUUCUAAGAGCGGAGUCUCCCGCUGCAAUCUGGGUGGUAACUGCCAGCCUUGGAGGAUCGUGGCCAACGUGGACCUGCCUACGGAGGGUGGGCUCUGACCCAAGUGGGGCCUCCUUGUCCAGGUCUCACUGCUUUGCGCCGUGGUCAGAGGGACUGUCAGCUGAGCUUGAGCUCCCCUGGAGCCAGCAGGGCUGUGAUGGGCGAGUCCCGGAGCCCCACCCAGACCUGACUGCUUCUGAGAGCAAAGGGAAGGACUGACGAGAGAUGUAUAUUUAAUUUUUUUUAACUGCUGCAAACAUUGUACAUCCAAAUUAAAG
RNAcentral lists this small RNA (14465 nucleotides) under Pan troglodytes (chimpanzee). RNAcentral describes it as "retained intron". The record is from RNAcentral. Lineage: Eukaryota; Metazoa; Chordata; Mammalia; Primates; Hominidae.